CCGUUAGAGCAUUUUUAGGAAGCAUAAAAGGCAAUUAAAAUGGGCAAAAAAAUAGCCGUUGCUGACAUUUUCCAUCGCAGGGGUCGACUCAUGAGUCGACUCAUGCUUCAGGGGUCGACUCAUGAGUCGACCUCUGUUGCAAAAACCAGAGAAUGAUUUUCUAGAAAUUCUUGGCUCAAAUCAACAGGGGUCGACUCAUGAGUCGACUCAUGCCUUGUGGGUCGACUCAUGAGUCGACUCACAGGUCGUGCCAAGCCAGAAAACUAGCGUGCCA
RNAcentral lists this long non-coding RNA (274 nucleotides) under Elaeis guineensis (African oil palm). RNAcentral describes it as "long non-coding RNA (EGUI_LNC035808)". The record is from RNAcentral. Lineage: Eukaryota; Viridiplantae; Streptophyta; Magnoliopsida; Arecales; Arecaceae.